UCACUGCUUGCGCAGGCAGUCUCUUUAGAGUCCCCACCAUAAUGUGCUGGCAACUAAGGGCGAGGGUUGCGCUCGUUGCGGGACUUAACCCAACGUCUCACGACACGAGCUGACGACAGCCAUGCAGCACCUGUGUGCAGGUCCCCGAAGGGAGGGAUCCCAUCUCUGGAAACCGUCCUGCCAUGUCAAGGGCUGGUAAGGUUCUGCGCGUUGCUUCGAAUUAAACCACAUGCUCCACCGCUUGUGCGGGCCCCCGUCAAUUCCUUUGAGUUUCAGCCUUGCGGCCGUACUCCCCAGGCGGGGCACUUAUCGCGUUAGCUUCGACACGGAGAGGGUCGAUCCCCCCCGCGUCUAGUGCCCAUCGUUUACGGCGUGGACUAC
RNAcentral lists this unclassified non-coding RNA (381 nucleotides) under uncultured bacterium. RNAcentral's name for it is "contains 16S-23S intergenic spacer region". The record is from RNAcentral.